This 451-nucleotide long non-coding RNA is filed under the name Hordeum vulgare. RNAcentral's name for it is "long non-coding RNA (HVUL_LNC007016)". Lineage: Eukaryota; Viridiplantae; Streptophyta; Magnoliopsida; Poales; Poaceae. The record is from RNAcentral.
GGGGGUCGAUCUAGUCGUCGGCUGCAGAGGUGUGGGGCGGGGUUGCACAGGGGAUCCACCCUUUUCUGUCGCGGUUGGCGUUGCGCGAGGCCGAGGUCGGAGGAGGCGUUCACAUGGACCUCGAUGUCGCAGGUGCCCUUGGAGAGAUCCCAGUUGGCGACCCUGAAGGUGCUGCGUUCCUAAGAAAUCUCGAGGAUCUGGUACCUCCAGAUGGAGUUCUUGAGGGACGCCAUGCCGUCGCGGUCGCAUCCGACCUGGAAGGCCCGGUAGCCGCACUCCGGCGGGUGGGUGCCACCGAGCCAGAAGGGAUAUACGAUGCGGAGGCCACCGCACACUGCCGUCUCGCAGGACGUCGAGGACGACGAUGGUGUUUGUGGUGUUUUGGGCGCUUGUGGUGGUGCCAGAGAUUUCUUAAACGGUAACAACUACAUGGCCUGGGUGUUCAAGGAGU